GUCCACGCCCUAAACGAUGUCGAUUAGCCGUUGGGAUCAAUAAAGGUCUUAGUGGCGCAGCUAACGCGAUAAAUCGACCGCCUGGGGAGUACGGCCGCAAGGUUAAAACUCAAAGGAAUUGACGGGGCCCGCACAAGCGGUGGAGCAUGUGGUUUAAUUCGAUGCAACGCGAAGAACCUUACCAGGCCUUGACAUCUAGCGAACUUUCCAGAGAUGGAUUGGUGCCUUCGGGAACGCUAAGACAGGUGCUGCAUGGCUGUCGU
This 263-nucleotide ribosomal RNA is filed under the name uncultured bacterium. Its description in RNAcentral is "partial 16S ribosomal RNA". It matches the Rfam family "Bacterial small subunit ribosomal RNA", at positions 793 to 1055 of the family's 1533-position model. The record is from RNAcentral.